UAUUGAACAAGAUUUGUUGACAAAGGCUUUACUUGUUAGGAUGGUUGACUUGAGCUGUGAAAAGAUGUCUAUAUAUAUUGAAUUUGUUACUGAUAUGCUGUUUUUGAAUUGGUGAAUCCUACAGUUUACAGGUCGUCAAACCCGUACCCAUUUACAACAAGGAAACACAAACUUCUUUGAAAAAAAAAAUUGGCGAUUACCAAAAAGCUUCAGUGGCUGUUAUUAAAAUUCCUCAACUAUCAACAAUGGACAUAAUUGAUGAAGACUUUUAAAUAAGUAUAUUCUGAUAGGUACCUAUUUCCUAUUAUUUGUGUACUUAUUUUUCCUAUAUUUCAACACACUACACAUCAGAAAGUAUAUAAUAAAAAAGAAAAAGUUUACACACAUAUUUUGCCUGUGUCUCCUUCUAAACAAUUGGAUCACAAGCCACCUUCAACUGUUAUCACAUAUAUGUUUGGUGAAAUCGUAACUAUUGUAAAGAUUUUUUGAUUAAUGCUUAACCUGUCAGAAUGGUUGGCAUGAGCAUGAGCUGUGAAAAGAUAUAUUAUAAUAUUGAAGAUAUUGCUGAUAGGCUGUUAAAAUUAGCGGGGUCCUAUUGUUUACUGGUCGUUAAACCUGUUCCCACACACGGAACUUACUUCUCAACAAGGAACAACAAACUUUGAAAGAAGACUCAGCGAACACCAAUUACCUUAAAUUAUUGCACUCUGAAUCGUAUUUGUCAAUGGCAUAUUAUUUACCAUUA
This is a long non-coding RNA of Metopolophium dirhodum (rose-grain aphid), 745 nucleotides long. RefSeq lists it as uncharacterized. NCBI's taxonomy places the organism in Eukaryota, Metazoa, Arthropoda, Insecta, Hemiptera, Aphididae. The record is from RefSeq and is a predicted model, not a curated record. The transcript is spliced from 4 exons.